RNAcentral lists this ribosomal RNA (253 nucleotides) under uncultured bacterium. Its description in RNAcentral is "partial 16S ribosomal RNA". It matches the Rfam family "Bacterial small subunit ribosomal RNA", at positions 524 to 776 of the family's 1533-position model. The record is from RNAcentral.
UACGUAGGUUGCGAGCGUUAUUCGGAUUUACUGGGCGUAAAGAGCACCGAGGUGGCUUCUUAAGUUGGAUGUGAAAUCUCCCGGCUUAACUGGGAGGCGCCAUUCAAAACUGGGGAGCUUGAGGUCAGCAGGGGAAAGUGGAAUUCCCGGUGUAGUGGUGGAAUGCGUAGAGAUCGGGAGGAACACCAGUGGCGAAAGCGACUUUCUGGGCUGCACCUGACACUCUAGUGCGAAAGCGUGGGGAGCAAACAGG